UGCCAGCAGCCGCGGUAAUACGUAGGGGGCGAGCGUUGUCCGAAUUCACUGGGCGUAAAGCGCGCGUAGGCGGAUAUUUAAGUUGGGGGUGAAAUCCCGGGGCUCAACCUCGGAACUGCCUCCAAAACUGGAUGUCUUGAGGUAUGAAGAGGGAAGUGGAAUUCCAGGUGUAGCGGUGAAAUGCGUAGAUAUCUGGAGGAACACCUGUGGCGAAGGCGGCUUCCUGGUCAUAUCCUGACGCUGAGGUGCGAAAGCCAGGGGAGCGAACGGGAUUAGAUACCCCGGUAGUCCUGGCCGUAAACGAUGGAUACUAGGUGUUAGUGGUAUCGACCCCACUAGUGCCGGAGCUAACGCAUUAAGUAUCCCGCCUGGGGAGUACGACCGCAAGGUUGAAACUCAAAGGAAUUGACGGGGGCCCGCACA
RNAcentral lists this ribosomal RNA (423 nucleotides) under uncultured bacterium. Its description in RNAcentral is "bacterial SSU rRNA". It matches the Rfam family "Bacterial small subunit ribosomal RNA", at positions 506 to 927 of the family's 1533-position model. The record is from RNAcentral.